GAGCGUUGUGCGAGUGGACGUGCCAGCGAAGAUGUGGGACAGUUUGGGAGGCUGCCGAACGUGGGGCGUGCACGGCACUGGAGGUUACUGCGACGUGGGACAAUGGUGGCGUCGAUCUGCUGCUGACUGUUAGUGUUUCUGCUCUUUGUUUUCUUGGUGUAAGGGGCUUAGGUUUAGGGCCUAGUGUAUUAGGCCAAGGGUAUUUGGGCAAUGUUAUGAUUUUGGGUUGGUCUUAUUUUGAAUGGGCCGGGCAAAAAUGGGCUAUUACAGCUGCCCCUCUUUGCUCGUUGUCAUGUAAUGGGAACAGAGCAAAGAUUAAAAAGCCCAAUUUUGCCCGGUCAUACUGGACCUUGGUGCUCCUCUUCUUCUUUAAAUAGCCUCAUUCCUUUCUACUGCAUCUUUAGAGGUAUAGGAACUAGUGCUUCAAUCCACUCUACUGCAACAACAAUGAAAUAGGAUUUGGGUUUUCAAUUCAUUUAACUGCAAUGUCGGGGAAACAAGAUUCGCCGUCAUGACUUCAAUCUAUUCCACUACACUACCAGGGAAGUAAGAAUUACUGGCUUCAAUGUACUCCACUGUAACCUCAGGGAGGUAAAAUCUGCCAUCUUCGAUCUACUCCACUAAUGCCUAGGGAGAUAAGAUCUGUAAUCUUCAAUCUAUUCCACUGCUGCUCAGGGAGAUAGAAUUACUGGCUUCAAUGUACUCCACUGUAACCACAGGGAGGUAAAAUCCACCAUCUUUGAUCUGCCCCAUUACUGCUUAGGGAGACAAGAUCUAAAAUCUUCAAUCUAUUCCACUGCUGCCCAGGGAAGUAGAAUUACUAGCUUCAAUGUACUCUACUGUAACCACAAGGAGGUAAAAUUCACCAUCUUUGAUCUGCCCCAUUACUGCUUAGGGAGACAAGAUCUGAAAUCUUUAAUCUAUUCCUCUGCUGCCUAGGGAAGUAGAAUUACUGGCUUCAAUGUACUCCACUGUAACCUCAAGGAGGUAAAAUCUGUCAUCUUCGAUCUACUCCACUAAUGCCUAGGGAGAUAAGAUCUGUAAUCUUCAAUCAUUCCACUGCUGCCCAGGGAGAUAGAAUUACUGGCUUCAAUGUAUACCACUGUAACCUCAGGGAGGUAAAAUCUGCCAUCUUCGAUCUACUCCACUAAUGCCUAGGGAGAUAAGAUCUGUAAUCUUCAAUCUAUUCCACUGCUGCUCAGGGAGAUAGAAUUACUGGCUUCAAUGUACUCCACUGUAACCACAGGGAGGUAAAAUCCACCAUCUUUGAUCUGCCCCAUUACUGCUUAGGGAGACAAGAUCUAAAAUCUUCAAUCUAUUCCACUGCUGCCCAGGGAAGUAGAAUUACUAGCUUCAAUGUACUCCACUGUAACCACAGAAAGGUAAAAUUCACCAUCUUUGAUCUGCCCCAUUACUACUUAGGGAGACAAGAUCUGAAAUAUUUAAUCUAUUCCACUGCGGCCUAGGGAAGUAGAAUUACUGGCUUCAAUGUACUCCACUGUAACCUCAGGGAGGUAAAAUCUGUCAUCUUCGAUCUACUCCACUAAUGCCUAGGGAGAUAAGAUCUGUAAUCUUCAAUCUAUUCCACUGCUGCUCAGGGAGAUAGAAUUACUGGCUUCAAUGUACUCCACUGUAACCACAGGGAGGUAAAAUCCACCAUCUUUGAUCUGCCCCAUUACUGCUUAAGGAGACAAGAUCUAAAAUCUUCAAUCUAUUCCACUGCUGCCCAGGGAAGUAGAAUUACUAGCUUCAAUGUACUCCACUGUAACCAUAGGGAGGUAAAAUUCACCAUCUUUAAUCUGCCCCACUACUGCUUAGGGAGACAAGAUCUGAAAUAUUUAAUCUAUUCCACUGCUGCCCAGGGAAGUAGAAUUACGACUUUAAUGUACUCUACUGUAACCUCAGUGAGGUAAAAUCUGUUAUCUUCGAUCUACUCCACUAAUGCCUAGGGAGAUAAGAUCUGUAAUCUUCAAUCUAUUCCACUACUGCCCAGGGAGAUAGAAUUACUGGCUUCAAUGUACUCCACUGUAACCACAGGGAGGUAAAAUCCACCAUCUUUGAUCUGCCCCAUUACUGCCUAGGGAGACAAGAUCUGAAAUCUUCAAUCUAUUCCACUGCUGUCCAGGGAAGUAGAAUUACUAGCUUCAAUGUACUCCACUGUAACCAUAGGGAGGUAAAAUUCACCAUCUUUAAUCUGCCCCACUACUGCUUAGGGAGACAAGAUCUGAAAUAUUUAAUCUAUUCCACUGCUGCCCAGGGAAGUAGAAUUACUGGCUUCAAUGUACUCCACUGUAACCACAGGGAGGUAAAAUUCACCAUCUUUGAUCUGCCCCACUACUGCUUAGGGAGACAAGAUCUGAAAUUUUUAAUCUAUUCCACUGCUGCCCAGGGAAGUAGAAUUACGACUUCAAUGUACUCCACUGUAACCUCAGGGAGGUAAAAUCUGUCAUCUUUGAUCUACUCCACUAAUGCCUAGGGAGAUAAGAUCUGUAAUCUUCAAUCUAUUCCACUACUGCCUAGGGAGAUAGAAUUACUGGCUUCAACGUACUCCACUGUAACCACAGGGAGGUAAAAUCCACCAUCUUUGAUCUGCCCCAUUACUGCCUAGGGAGACAAGAUUUGAAAUCUUCAAUCUAUUCCACUGCUGUCCAGGGAAGUAGAAUUACUAGCUUCAAUGUACUCCACUGUAACCAUAGGGAGGUAAAAUUCACCAUCUUUAAUCUGCCCCACUACUGCUUAGGGAGACAAGAUCUGAAAUAUUUAAUCUAUUCCACUGCUGCCCAGGGAAGUAGAAUUACUGGCUUCAAUGUACUCCACUGUAACCACAGGGAGGUAAAAUUCACCAUCUUUGAUCUGCCCCACUACUGCUUAGGGAGACAAGAUCUGAAAUCUUUAAUCUAUUCCACUGCUACCCAGGGAAGUAGAAUUACUGGCUUCAAUGUACUCCACUAUAACCACAGGGAGGAAAAAUCUGCCAUCUUUGAUUUGCUCCACUACCGCUUAGGGAGAUAAGAUCUGUAAUCUUCAAUCUUUUCUACUGCAACUGAGGGAGGCAGGGCUGGUGUCUUCAAUCCGCUUUAGUGUCGAUGCAGGAAGGCAAGAUCUGCUAUCAUCAUUGAUCUGUUCUCUAGGGAACAUGACCUGUAUAAUUCACUUUAUGAACCUAAUUAUGCCUAGUGAUUAGGAUGUCAUGAUCAUAAUAAAUCCAAUGCUCCUAACUAGACAUGUAUGAAUGACAUUUGAAUGAAUGCAGAAUGUCAUGAAAAUGAUAUUCUAACGCUUGAGUUAUUAUUACUCCAAGUUUAUUAAGGUUUCAUCACUAAUGUGUUAUAACACUUUCUUGCUCAGCUGGCGUCUCCAAAGAAACACUUGACCAGAUUGCCCCCACUGUAAACCUCCAAGUUUGAUCCACUGGGAUGUAAAAUUUGUACCAUCUUUCUCCCGUUGUAACCCAAGAGUAAAAAGAUUUGGUCUUUUCUCAAUUCUCAUCUAUCGCAAUUCAAGGAUGCAAAAUGUGAAGCACUUUGGUCUUUCAUACCAAUCUCAGGGUGUCAUACCAAAUGCCUAUGGACGAAUGAAGGAUUCUCCUCUCCAAAGAAACCCCUUUUUAUUGCUUGGUGAUUAUUGCUUGUUUGUUCAUCUAAGCCUUGCCACCAACCUAUCAUCCUGUCAUUUUGUUCAAUCAAUGUUUUUGACAACAAAAUAAAAAAGAAAGUCCUAAUUUAGACUUUUCCUUCUCAAAUUUCCAACCUUUAAACCUGGUGCGUUCUAAACAACAGUCCUGUUUCAGGCUCCUAUAUUGUUUAGAAACUUCUAGAGUAAUAUGCAAAACUUCCAUUGUGAAAGUUUUAUUAGUCCAUUAAUCAUUAUUCCAAUGCAACAUGCUUGCAAAAAGGUCAUAACAAUGGAUAAGAAUAAAGUUAGUUUUGAGUAUAGCUCGAAAGGAAUAAACUAUCAAAAAUAGUAAAGAAUGAUAACAAAGAAAUUGAUUGGGAAUGCGUAUCUUGGAAAAGAAUGAAGUAUUCCAAGAACAAAAAAUUCAAAAUAAAUAGUAUGGAGACAAGGUGUCCCAAAUGUCGCAGCUUGAACUUCUCUGUACAAACUUCUUGAAGACCAUUUUGAGUUUGACAUGUGUUUUGGAGAUUUACAUUACUCUGUCGAUGCCCCAAGAUGUCGUGUACCCUUACCUGCUGACUAAGGCAUAUCAAGAUCACAGCAUGCCCCAUUCUAAUCAACAUUUGAGUUGCUCUGAUUACCUCAUGCCCAUUCUGAUCAAUAUUUGAGCCACCCUUUUCGGGUUUUCAACUCAAAUCCCCUUUGGUCUAAGGCACCCUUUGCGGGUUUUCACCUUAGCCUCUCCAUUUUACUUUUCUAUUUUUCAUUUUUUCACUUUUUCAUUUCUCAUCUUUUUUUUCUUUUUUUUUGCGACUCAAAGUGCUCUUUGUAAGGUUUUACCUUGGUCUUCUCUUUCUUUAAAUGAAGUAUUUCUUGACUAAAUCUGAGUUUACAGGAUUAGACAAGUUUUUACUAUCCAUCCCACUCAAGAUCAGUGCUCCUCCGGAAAAUGUCUUCUUUAUAACAUAAGGACAUUCCCAAUCUGGCACUCAUUUUUCUCUAAAUCUUUUUGUAGAGGAAUGAUCUUUUUCAAUACCAGGUCUCCUUCAUGGAAUUCUCUAGGACGAACCUUUUUGUUGUAAGUUCGCAUUAUCCAUUUUUGGUACAUCUGACCGUGACGAAUAACUUUUAGCCUUUUUUCUUCAAUUAAGUUCAACUGAUCGUCUCAAGAUUGGAUCUUCAUCCUACUUCAGCUCAGCUAAUGCUCGAAGAGAAAGAAAUUCAACUUCAAAUAAAAAAACCAUGAUAGGUUAAAAAGAAAGACAUUGCCCCGGUAGAGGAUUUUUUUUGUUUUGUUUUGUUGUUGUUGUUUUUUUUUUGCAUUGAAUCUGCACUCGUAGUAUUAGGCAAGUCUUGGUUAUCCCUUUUGAUCAGAAUCAAAAUUAUUCUAGAUAAGGUCUUCCCCAUAAGAUCUUCCACUUUAAUUAGGAUGAAAUCCAACAAGAAUACAGAAAAAUGACAACUUGACUUCAACGGGAUAAGCCAGAGAAGAAGGCAUUGCCCCGACAAAGAAUUUUAACUGCAUCGUUCAUGAUAUGAAUCUUGAACAUACUGCAAAUUUUUAAUGUUGUGCUAUUGCUCAGAUUACAAUAUCAGUGCUUAACCUGGGCAUAUCCUGGUAUAACCAUACGAAGGCAUCUUUGAACUCUUGAAGUAACUUAACAAGGUCUUGCUUCGUUUAUCCGGUUAUGCAUGUUCUCUUAAAGUCACAAUCUCCAUUGUCUCUUCAAGAGGUAAAAUUUGUUCUCUUCUUGCUCUACCAUCCUCAACAAGUCUGGAGAUAGACUACGAUCUAUGUCAUCUUCAAAGCCAUGAGAUCCCUCUAAACACAUGUCUUGCUCAAAAGGAGAUUCUAAAUUUGUAGCAGUGUCAUUCAAGUCAUUGAUAUCUGGGGGGCCCAUAAUAAAUACCAAAGAAUAUACAAAAGAAUGUAUAAAGUUAUGAAGAACUAUAUGUACAAUAUGAUCAUAAAUGAAUGAAUGAUGUGGAAGAAAAUCCAAAAGAAUGAAAGAAUAACUAUUCAGACAGACUGAAAGAAUAUUGGUUCAAAAAUGAUCGCAAUGAUGCAUUUCAUUAAAAUAACGACAUUUAGACAUGAGCCUACUUCACAAAGGAAUUCUUAUUGCCUCUAGGCUAAAAGCAACAAGUGUGUUUUGAACAUUGCUCUAAAUAAGCCCUAAAUACUACAAAUAUUUCUUCCGCAGUUCGAUUGUUUAAAACACUCCCAGGUUUACAAAGGUGGAUAUCUAAUAAGGUCCCUUUUCGAUUGUGUCUUCAUCUAUGACAUUGAUGUGAACACUUCCCAACAUCUCUUCAUACAUCGCAUUCACCUUAUUGUCAAUCAUGAUUGGGUAGCGGAUUUUCUGCAUUAGAUGAGUCACCCAACUUGACAAUACCCAUGUUGAUGAAUUUUUCAACUAGCUUUUUGAAGGUAAUGCAAUUCUCUAUUGAGUGCCCCGUAAUUCCUGCGUGGUAGUCACAUUGCGCGUUCACAUUAUACCACUUAGGAUACGGAGGUUGUGGAGGUUUUAAGUAAUGAGGAGCAACAACAUGCGCAUCGAACAAGCUUUGAUAUAACUCCUUAUAGGACAUCGGAAUUGGUGUGAACUGGAGCUUCUCAGUACCUGGCUUCACACAUGAUUCUUGUCUUGAUGAACCCUGCUGAUUAGUAACCACCUUUCUUGGCUGAUUCACCGUAAUCGAUUUGCUGUACGUGUUUAUGCUGUUCACCUCAUUUUCUUUUUCUUUUGGGGCUUGAUUUCUGUUAUUUCCUCCAGCAUCAAUCUUUUCGCUCCUAAUAGCACUCUCAAUCAUCUCACCACUCAUAACUAUGUCAGAAAAGCUUUUUGUGGCACUUCCCAACAUAUGUGUGAUGAAUGGGGCCUUUAACGUAUUUAUAAAGAGUAUCACCAUUUCUCUUUCAAGGAGCGGUAGUUGGACCUGAACUGCAACCUUCCUCCAUCUCUGAGCGUACUGCCUGAAACCUUCAUUCGACUUCUUCUCCAUAUUUUGCAAAGUAAUUCUGUCAGGAACCAUUUCUGCCACAUGACUGUACUGCUUCAUAAAAGCCUGUGCCAAAUCCCUCCAGGAACUAAUCUUAGCACGGCUUAAUUGAUUAUACCAUUUAGACGCUGCCCCCGUGAGGUUAUCCUGAAAACAGUGUAUCAAUAACUGCUCAUUAUUGACAUACCCAGCCAUUCGUCUACAAAACAUGGUAAUGUGGGCCUUAGGGCAACUGGUCCCACCAUUCUUCUCGAAAUUCGGCACUUUAAAUUUGUAAGGGAGCACUAAAUCUGGUACCAAACUUAAAUCCUUAGCAUCAAUCCCAUGGUAUAUUUCAGUAGUUUCCAUUGCUUUGAAUUUCUCCUUAAUCCACUUCCAUCUUUCCUCCAAUUGCUUUGGUAAUUCCUCUUUUGUUCUCUCUUUUUCAACUGCUUCAUCGAAAUCAGGAAUAAUAGGAUUAGUAGGAUUGUUCUUAAGACUAAAGCUUGAUCCGACCUGGAAAUUCAUUUACCUCGAAGCAUCGACCUGAAAUUGUUGGGGCCUAAUCGUAACAGAAGAUUUACGGGGGUACACUUCCAUUUGGUGCUGCACAUGUAGAGGAGUGAAGCCUGAAGGAUACUGGAGUCCAUCCUCACAUUCUUCUUCAAUAUUUGUUACAGGGCUCUUUCCCUUAUCUUUUCCUUUAGUCAACAAUCGCGUUAACUUUGUCAUCAUGCUUCCUUGUGAUUCCUCCAUUUUAUCCAUCAAUCUUUGUUGAAUCUUCUCGAGUUGUCCCUUCAUUUGCUGUUGAAUAUGAUCCUGCGUUUCUUUUUGAAACUGCUCGAGCUUUUCCAACCUUUGGUCCAUAUUUUUUUAAUUUCGCUCUUGUACCGUAACGGUGUUGGGUUGGCUGGUUGGUUUCCAGGUUAACUGAGGAAUGAUUUUAACCAAUUAGGGCUUUUUAAUGGAUUUUAAUGCAUAUGAUGUCAUGCAAUGCAAAUGCAUGAAAUGAAUGCAUAAAAGAGACGUUGAUUCUGAUUCAAUUCUAUUUAGAAAACUUUACUAGAAGACAAAUUUCUUUACAUAAAGUGGAUAUAUAUACGUCUUUGCCCUCAUACUCCAGGCGAGGACAUCUUCUCCUUCUUCAUCCAAAUGUUAAGAUAAAUCUUGCGGAUUCUUCAAAAGGGGAAUCUUCUCUACCUCCUUUUUGCUUGAUCCUGGUUAUAAUCCAGCGUCUGCCCAUCCCCGUAAUGCUCAUUAGCUUCUUUAAGAAAGUUGGAAUGUUGAAAGCUCUUAGACAAUCAUCUUGAAUCCUCGGGCCCCGAAGUAAAGUCACGAAUUCUUCCACCGCCCUUCUUAUGUUUCUCGGAAUAUAUUCAGGCAGCCGUACUAUUUUUCAUUUUAUCAAGAAACCCGUUUUCUUAUGAUAGGCUUUCUAAGUUAGUAAUCAAACUUGAAUCAAUAUCUCUUUUCUAAAAUGCAAAUGCAACGCAAUCAUAACCAAAACAAAACGGGUUAGUAUCAGGUAUAAACAUUUAAUCCAAUACAAUCAAGAAAUAAUAAAAACUCCUAGUCAGGUAUCUACUAAGGUUUAGAGUAAUUCUACCUAGGGUAAGUUCCUAAGGUUCACUAUAUGCUGUUCGGCUUCUAGGGCAGGGGUACCUGAACCAGCAGAUUCCUCGAUCCUCACCCAUUAUAGGCUCAUAUAGACCGAGUUCAGUUCAGGGGGAUACAUUUCCCUAUGGCUACACGGAGAUGAAAAUCUCACGAAGACAUAGGUACGGAUGCAUCCCGAAAGCGAUCCACUAUCCUGCACGGAGGUGAAAACCUCACGAAGGACUAGUUUCUCACUCCCACCUAGAGGGAUAAAAAUGACCGAUUUAUGAAAUGCAAAAUGCAAAUAAGCUAACAUACUUAAGCCAAUCAAGCAAGCAUAUGUCAAUUAAAACCAAUGAAUGCAAUGGGGAAGUCAUGAAUUUUAAAACAAAAUUUAAUUUUUUGAUCAAAAGACAAAAAUUAAUCAAUUUACGGCUUGAUUCUCUAACCAGUCCUCAGUGGAGUCGCCAAGCUGUCGAAACCAUUUUUUUGAAAACAAAAAUUUAGUUGUCGACUUUAAAAACAAAAAUUGGAGUCGCCACCGAUCCUUUAUUAAGGUGUGAUCGGCUCACCAAAAAAAAAAACAAUUCUGGUCUGCAAAAUUUGAGAAAACAGGUUCGGGAGUCAGUUACGCACGAGGAAGGGUUAGCACCCUCGUAACGCCCAAAAAUCGGUACCAAAUUUUGAUUAUUUUAUGUCUUGAUGUCGAAAAUUUGAAAAGAUUUUAAAUAGAAAUUUUUAACUCGUGAAUGGAUUUAAAAUGAUAAAACAUUCUCAUUUCAAAGAAAUAAAACACCACACCCAGUAAGUUAAGGCACAAUAUUUUAAAUCUUCAAACUACCGAAUAUCGCUUUUUGUUUUAGAAAUUCUUAUUUCGAGAUAACGAAAUGUCACGACCAGUAAGUUAGGACCCGACAUUUUGAAUUCCCGAGAAUAAGCUUUUAUUUGAAAAUUGCAAAUUUAUUGUGAAAUGAAUACUUAGCUUGUUAAAUCCAUCGAAAAAAAUGAUAACGAUCCAGUAAGUUAGGACACGAUCUUUCUCGAGAAUCAUGAUUGCCAAAUAUUAAAAUGUUUAAAAAUAACCAUUUUAAUAUUAACAAAACCAAAAUAUAUUUUCUUUAAAAGUAUGAUAAAACGUUCCUGCCUAUAUAUACAAAAAUCACGAAAAUGAAUCAAUGAUACAAUGUACAUGCAUUUAAAAAAAACAAACAAACAUAAUAAUAUAUAAACAUAAUAUAUUAGUAAUUAUCAAAAAUAUGGACAUAUGUAUAUAUAAAAAACAAAUUAAAAAAAAAUAUAUAGUUAUAAAGGUAUAGAAUAAUAUAUAUAUCUAUGUAUACGUAUAUAUAUAAAAAUAUUUAAAUUGUAAAAUAUAGAAAACAUAUAAAUAUUAUAAAAGUAUAUACGCAUACAUAUGUAUAUAAAGCUAAGAAAACUGAAAUAAUAAUAAAAUCUAUGAUAUGUACAUAUUAUAAAAAUGUAUAAACAUAUGACUUAUAAAACGUGAAAAUAUAAAUAAUUAUAAAAUAUGAAUGUAUAUAAUAUAUAUAUAUAAACUAUAUAUAUAAAUUAUGGUAAUGAAAUAUAUACGCACUAUAUAUAUAUUUAAAACAUUUAGAAAUAAAAAAUAUACACAUAUAUUAUAAAGUACACAUGCGUGUAUAUAUGUAAGUAUAAUAAAAAUAAUAAUAAUAGUAAUAAUAAAAAUAAAAAUAAUAACUAUAUUAAUAAAAUAAACUAAAAACUUAAAAUGAAAGAUUAUGGAUUAAAUUGAAAAUAAUUGAAGUUUCAGGGGCAAAUCUGAAAUAAACAAAACACCAAUGGAUCAAAUGGAACAUGCAGUUAACAGUGGAGGACCGAAAGUGAAAUUAAUCCCUCCGUCCAAAACUCCACGCAGCAAUGGAUUAAAAUAAAACAAAUUCGACAUUUCAUGGCAAAAUUUGAAAACAAACCACAAUGAUUUUGAACUGAUGGGAUAAAAUGAAGGAUUAAAACGCAAAUAACCCAUCAGUGUUUAAAACCCUUUUCAUCUCCAAUUAAAAGCCUACUCUGCAGCAGCAAUAGACGCAAAAUUGCUUCAUCUUCCUUUUUUUCUUUAUUGUUUUAAAACAACAGAGGGAAGAAAGAGGGGUCUGCUAGGCCUUCUUUAAAGCCCUAACUACCGCCACGCCACCGCCGUUCAAGCUUCGCCGCCGACUCCGAUUCAGGUAAGUUUCGCCCUUUUCUUUUUGCUUUUUCUUUUGCACCAAAAACAGAGAAGCAAAGAAAAAAAAAGAAAAAAAAAUAAAAUAAAUAAAACACAAAGAAAAUUACCUUCAAAAAUUGUUUUUGAUUAUUUGUUUGUAUUUCAGUAUUUUUCCAAUACAAGAUUUUUCUCUUUUUAGUACAAAAUUUUUCUCCCCCCUCCAAAAACAGAAAAUCAUUGGCCUUUAUAUAGCCCUCCUUCAAUCCUUUUACAACUGUUUUGCUGUGUGUAUAUCUUAGUAGUGUUGUCUGUGGCUUGCAGAUGUGUGAGCGUUGUGCGAGUGGACGUGCCAGCGAAGAUGUGGGACAGUUUGGGAGGCUGCCGAACGUGGGGCGUGCACGGCACUGGAGGUUACUGCGACGUGGGACAAUGGUGGCGUCGAUCUGCUGCUGACUGUUAGUGUUUCUGCUGUUUGUUUUCUUGGUGUAAGGGGCUUAGGUUUAGGGCCUAGUGUAUUGGGCCAAGGGUAUUUGGGCAAUGUUAUGAUUUUGGGUUGGUCUUAUUUUGAAUGGGCCGGGCAAAAAUGGGCUAUUACAAUAAUCAUAUGAAAAUAUUACCUCAUCUAUUUUUAUAAAAAUGUAAAAAUUGAAUACUUGCACAUCCAUACAUAAUAACACUUAUAAUAGAAUGAUUUUAUUAUGAAAGCAUGCUUCUCAAUUUUAAUAAUCAAUACUAAAUAGUAACAUUAUAAUAUCAAUAAACAUAUUUAAAUAAUAAUCUUAAAAAAAAAAGUUAAAAUGACCCAACAAACAAAAGACUAGGCUGGUCUACUUCUUGGCCCAGUGGCCUGUUGCUUCUUUUUGGCCCAGUUGAUUGCUCCCAUCGGGGAAUGGGUUGUUUCUGCUUGGUGCCCCACUUGUUUCUUAAAUUUAGUUCAUUUUUUUUCUUCACCUUAUCAAACAAAAAACCUAAUUCUCUCUAAACCUACCUUUUUGCCACCGCUCUUCCUCCGUUGACGGUGCUCAUCGGUAGAAAUGGUCAUCGGAAUAAUUAUUUUUUUCUAAAAUAUUAUAUAUAUUGUUUUGAUUUUUAAAAAAAAAUUCAACUAUUUGAUGUUUUUCACAUUUAUGAUGUGAUUAAAUUGCCCCAUUUAAGUUGAAAGUGGCUAAAUUAUUCAUAAUCUAUUAGUUUAUUAAGGGAAAUAGUUAAAGGUCUUUUUCUUUUUUUAAUUUCUAAUACCAGAUCCACCGAAUUACUUCAUUUCCUAUUAAUUACUUCUAGCCCUAUAAUAUAAACACAUUUUAAAAUUGCAUUCCUUAAAUUCCGAUAUUAGUUUAAUAUAUCCUUUUAAACAAUAACUAAAUUUAUUGUGGUGAUGAUGUUUUUGUUUUUUCAUAUUUGUUAAUAAUCUUUCGAAAAAUUGGAGCAAUUUAAUCCAUGUCAAUUUAAAAAAUGACCAACUAAGAACAAUUAGUCACAACAUUAAUAAAAAGGAAAAAAAUUCAUUGUCCGAUAUUAGUUAGAGCAUGGUCGCAACAAUUUAUUUAAUCUUAUUUUCUUUUGUUUAUUUUACUGCAAUUUCAACUUUUAUAUAUUUCUGUUAUUUUUAUUUUUAAUCAGAUUAAACCCUCCUUUUUAGUUUUCGCACAGGGUUGGUAUAGGGUGAAAUCGGGUUAUAUGCUUGAUUUCUUUGUUGAUGGUCCUUGGUUGAAAUUUUGGAAUUGUCAUAUUUCAUUGAAAGUCAAACACUUCAUUCGGAGAUGUUUGAAAGGUUUCGUGCCUUGCAAUACUUAGUAGAGAGGGGAGUGCAAUUGGACUUGAAUUGUCAAAGGUGUGGCCUUGUUGAAAGUCUCGACCACGUCUUGAUUGAGUGCCUUUGAGCGAAACAUGUUUGACAGUACACUGGCAUUGAUACAGUUGGUCUAACAGUCACGAACUUACUUAUUAAUCUCCUUGACCGUAUGGAGACUACUUGUUUAUUAGUUUAGAGUCUAUGGUGGUUUCGAACCAUAAAGAUUACUCUACCGCUCAUAUUCAUUCUUUUGCUUUGAAGUAGGUGCUGGCAAAAUCUAAAUUGGAAAGAUCUUUUGGUCCUAUCAACUUAACUCCGGACACAGUAAAGUGGACUUUGCCCGUUGUUAAUGGGAUGAAAUGCUGUACCGGUGCAGUAGUAGGACGCUCAAGGACAAAUUGGGGAUACAGAGCUGUUCUUCAACGAUAAGGGCGAGUUCAUUAAAGGCUUGUUGAGCACUUGACAAUGGUUGUAAAUCCUGAACUUGCUCAAGCUUUACAGUUGCUCAUUAACGAUUGUUUUUAUCUUAAGAAUCAUCUCAGUAAUGCGUCUUUCAUGGACUCGUACUGAUGCUAAUAAAAUCGCUUACGCUUUGGCAAAGGUAGCUUUUGUCUUAUGAGAACUUGUAAAUUUGGGACUUUAUUCCUUCGUUUUUAAUUGAUAUUCUAAAUGUUGAUUGCCUAGACGGAGGUUUUGAACCUUAGGUGUGAGCGUAUAGAAAGGGCUUAUUGGUUUGAGCUAAUCAGUAAAGCCGGCAAAACAUGCCUGAGCUUGAAAGUCUACUUGUGUUGAUUAGAAC
RNAcentral lists this long non-coding RNA (12969 nucleotides) under Gossypium barbadense (sea-island cotton). RNAcentral describes it as "long non-coding RNA (GBAR_LNC020296)". Lineage: Eukaryota; Viridiplantae; Streptophyta; Magnoliopsida; Malvales; Malvaceae. The record is from RNAcentral.